GAUGAACGCUGGCGGCGUGCCUAAUACAUGCAAGUCGAGCGAACGGACGAGAAGCUUGCUUCUCUGAUGUUAGCGGCGGACGGGUGAGUAACACGUGGAUAACCUACCUAUAAGACUGGGAUAACUUCGGGAAACCGGAGCUAAUACCGGAUAAUAUUUUGAACCGCAUGGUUCAAAAGUGAAAGACGGUCUUGCUGUCACUUAAAGAUGGAUCCGCGCUGCAUUAGCUAGUUGGUAAGGUAACGGCUUACCAAGGCAACGAUGCAUAGCCGACCUGAGAGGGGGAUCGGCCACACUGGAACUGGGACACGGUCCAGACUCCUACGGGAGGCAGCAGUAGGGAAUCUUCCGCAAUGGGCGAAAGCCUGACGGAGCAACGCCGCGUGAGUGAUGAAGGUCUUCGGAUCGUAAAACUCUGUUAUUAGGGAAGAACAUAUGUGUAAGUAACUGUGCACAUCUUGACGGUACCUAAUCAGAAAGCCACGGCUAACUACGUG
This 497-nucleotide ribosomal RNA is filed under the name uncultured bacterium. RNAcentral describes it as "partial 16S ribosomal RNA". It matches the Rfam family "Bacterial small subunit ribosomal RNA", at positions 28 to 507 of the family's 1533-position model. The record is from RNAcentral.